CGUCGUGGUAUGAUGACGUUUCACUGUUGGUGGUGUUGCAACAUGAGACGAAUAAUGUAGUUUUACUAAAAAAUGGCUAAUUCACUUGGGCGUUGUGGUUAAUCGGCGGAUUUUGCACGUCGCUCAUAACAGACUGAGCGAGCUGUAAAAUGAUGUUGUUGACACGUUUUAUUUUGUGAAUAUUAGUAGCUUGUUACCUAUUUCAUCGUAGCUCAGUUGCAUCGCGCGAUAGUGUCGACAGAGAUGUGUCAGAACUGAGGCAAUUUUGCGAGUCACAUAUUUUGCUCUCGGCAAGGUUGAGCGCGUUUUGGUUCAUUUGUUAUUUGCCGAGGUCGAGACCUUUUCUUCGAAUGUUGAGGUAACCGCGAGGCAUUCGCAACAUGUUGAACAUUCCAACUCAGUCGUUCCCUUCGCCGAGCUCCCAGCAGCGGGUCGCCCGGCCCGGCCAGUCGGGCAGGGCCAAGGUUGCCUUGAAACCAGGCCACAGUCUAAUGGACUGGAUUCGGUUCUCCAAAAGUGGAAAAGAUCUCACCGGCUUGAGGGGGCGUCGGAUUGAAGUUACCCAAGAGGAAUUGCAGAAACACAACACCAGGAAUGACUGCUGGACUUGUAUACGAGGUAUGGUGUAUAAUGUCACUCCCUAUAUGGACUACCACCCUGGUGGAGAAGAUGAGCUGAUGAAAGCAGCAGGCAUAGAUGGCACUGACCUCUUCGAUCAGGUCCAUCGGUGGGUAAACUAUGAGUCCAUGUUGAAAGAGUGUCUGGUGGGCAGGAUGGCGACGAAGCCCACCACAGCAAUUAAAGCAAUGAUGCCACCACCUCUACCAGUCUUCACCACCUCUAACCAAGUGUCUCCUCUUUCCGUCAAAGACUCUCGACCUCGGUACGACUGGUUCCAAACUGCAACAACACUGCAUCUGGUUAUUUAUGCCCAAAGGAAGAUACCCAACACGGGAUGUACCGUUGUUGAUCUUGAGGCUGGCGUACUACGAGUAGAAGUCCUGCUUGGAAAAAUGUCGUACAUGGUACAUUUACGUCUUUCAGAAAAUGUUGAUGAAGACAUUGCUGUUCACACUGCAGUCUCUGUGGGAAAGAUCCAAGUGACCAUCCACAAGCAGGCAGAAGGAAAAUGGUCGAGCUUCGGUCAGCCUUUGGAAUUCCACAAUACAUUUUUAAGCAAAAAAGACAGAGCUCUUUUCUUUCGGGAUUGUGUGUUGGUGUCGAAGACUGAGGUGAACCAUAACACAUACGUCUUUCAAUUACAACUUCCACGUGGGACCAUCAUGCAUGUGCCUGCUGGGAGACACCUCUACCUCAAAUCCCUCGUUCAAGACAUAGAGGUGGUGCGACCAUACACCCCAGUCGACCAGAGUCUUUCAGUUGGGCCCAAUCCCUCAGAAAAAACAAACCUCUACCUCAUGAUUAAGGUUUAUCCUGAUGGAGUACUGACUCAACAUCUCAACAGCCUAUACAUAGGUGACCAUGUAUCUGUUAGUGGUCCUGAGGGUACAUUCAGUCUUCGCCCCCUCCGUGAUGCCGCAGUUCUCUACCUUUUAGCAGCAGGCACGGGCUUCACUCCAAUGUGUCGUCUCAUUCGACUGGCCCUACAGGAGAUAACCACUAUCAGGAAAACCCAAUUGCUGCUUUUUAACCGACGGGAAGAGGACAUUGUGUGGCGAAGGGAGCUGGAUGAACUAACUGCUAAUGAUGAAAGGUUCCAGGUGGAGCACAUCCUCUCGGAGCCGUGUGAUAACUGGACCGGCAGGAAGGGCCGUGUGGACGAUGCAGUAAUCGAGGAUUUUGUCAGUAGGCCGGAGGGGUCAAAGUGCUAUGUUUGUGUAUGUGGCCCCUCUCUCUUUACAGAGCAGGCAAUCAGAUUUUCAGAUUGUCACGCUGAAAUGUUUCAGAUCAUCAAAGCAAUUUUAAAAUCUGAAAAACAACCCAAGUAAACUAUGACUUUAUUUAUGGAGGAGGACAAAAUCCAAACCUUUCUGGAGCUAUAUGAAAAGGCUGGUGAAGCACCAGGGCUUCAGUGAAGAGGAGUUCCAUGCCUUCCAGGGCUGAUGUGCUCUGCUGCAAAACUACAGACUGUGUGUCCCUUGGAGUGGCAACCAGACUUCAUUUCUACGCGCAUGUACAUAUGUGUGACAAGAGAACAUUCUAUGCACCAAGAACGUGGUGAAAUCAACUCAUUCGUUUUCAGAGCAACCGACUACCGUAUUUUCACGACCACCGUAUUGUUGGGCGCAGGCAUGGUAAAACAUACGCUAGCUUAAAACAUACCGUAGCAGUCAUGCACGCUAAAACGGUGUUUUUAAAAAGGCAGCGGGAGCAAAACUGACUUCGGUUGUACUUUAUUAAAGUAUUAAACAAUGUACUCAUGUUAUUUUUGGAUCAAUCCUCAUCCACAAAUCUAUCAAAGUCCUCAUCUUCUGGAUCCGAACUGAACAGCUGAGCAAGUUGAACACGCCAGGUCAGUCUCGUUGCCGUGCGGCUCCUGAGAAAUGAUGCCGGCUUUUACGAAAGCGCAAGCAGACACGUCAGCACGAGCAUCCGCAAUCCGUUCACAAAUUGUGCCGUAACUCGCCCGGCGCUGCCUCCUAGUCUUAGUAAAGCUGUGUUGGCCAUCUGUCAUCCAUGGCUCCCACGCCGCUCGCAACUUCACUUUGAACGCCCUGUUUACACGGAUGUCCAGCGGUUCGUUCGUCAAGCCUCCCGGAAUGAUGGCAAGCCCCGAGUUAUUGCACUCAGUCGAACGGUGACUUGAGACGCUUCUCCCGGCUGUUCUUUGCUCAUUAAUCCCUUGCUCGAGUAGGUCUUCCAACUCGGGCCACCUCGCCUCGUUUCCGCGGAAACUCAGCUUCGGCUUCUCGAUUCCCAUGUUCCUCCGCGUAACUGCUAGCUCGUAGUUUAAACUGUGCUUCGUAAGCGUGUCUGUUUUCGGGGGUCUUUAUCAAAGCGAUGUUUUUGCACAGUGCACAAAAAAAAGUCAAGCGGAGCGCUCAUCACACAACAUUUAUAGAUGUUGGAACUCGGUGCACACAUAAGGUGCGUCGCAUUAUAAGGCGCCCUGCCCAUUUUGGAGAAAAUUUCCCACUUUGAAGUGCGCCUUAUGGUCGUGAAAAUACGGUACAUAUUGCCAGUCGUUUUAGAACAUUUUGACUGAUUUUACAAGACCCAAAGAGUAUUGUGUUCCCUGAUUUUCUAGAUAUCAUAUCUACCAAAAGAAAGAAUGCUCUCGUCUUUCCCCAGGGAAGUUUGAUACCACCUUUUUCUGUUUUUUAGCAAUCAGCAGUAGAGCUUAGUUUGGUUUCACCAAAUAGAACUAUUUCUCCCAAAAAGCAGUGAAAACUAGUUUUUUUUAUUUUUUAUUUCUAAAUACUAUAUAAAGCAGAACACUGACUGAUGCUAAAUCUCUAGCUUUAGUGUCUAACAUCUGAACAGUGAAUUCCUUCUGUAAAACAGCAAAAACAACAUUUAGGAAUGGCAUUUGAUCGUAAAAUAAUAAUGUAUUUCCCGAUAUACAUCGCACCAUGAGCAAUGUCAGUCAUGGGUAGGGAUGGGUACCUUUCGCAUUCAAACCGAUACAUUCCCGGUUCCGCGGAAUCGAUGCCUGUACGAAUUUGCUGUACUUUUGUGUGUUGAGUGGAUGGGGAAAAUGUCAAAUCAACAUUUUUUAAUCCAACCUUUACAGUGAAACCUCAAUAGAACGUACUAAUAGGGGCGGGGGGUUCGUCCGAUAUCCCCGAUUGUAUUUUACAUUAAAGUUUUGUUUUUUUUGUUUUUUGAGGCCAUAUGCUUCCUAUUACUGUACAGUACAAAAUUGUUUUGUAGGUUUAGGUAAUGAAAAGAAAUAUAAAACAAGCUUGAAAAUGUUGUUAUAGGCGAGUUGCUUUCAUGAGCCGCGAGCAAUUAGUGUGCUUCCUAGUUCGAAAUCUGUUGCCUAAGGCGAAUGGAUUGACGAAAAAAAUGUACAAAAACUAGCAUGUUACAAACUCCAGAGUAUGUAACCUGUCACAGUUUUGUAUUCCUCUCUCUCUCUCUCAUCAGUCCAUUCUUUGCCUGCAUUGCGCCACAGCAAAAGUUAACAACAGCGGGCAAUUCUGGAAUUAACAGACAUUGUCAACGGCUGUUUAAGUGACAAAUGGAAGCUAUUUUUGGACACAUUGCUCAGUCUCGACGGUCCGUUGUAUCCGAUAUCCAUUAUAUUGGGGUCCGUUUUAUCGAGGUUUCACUGUAUUUUUCAAUAUGUUCACUUUGAAAAAUAUAACAGAGCAACAUCCUAAGUUUAAAAUAAAUUAUCAAAAGAACAUGGAAUAAUAAAAUGAAUAAAGAUAUAAUAGUUUAUAAAUAAAGAAUAAAUGUAGCAUAUAUAUAUAUAUAUAUAUAUAUAUUGUAAAAUAUCCAGGACGGCCAUCUAAGGAAGUUAAGGAGAAACCGGUUUAUUCAAAUUCUCCUGAUUUGCUGCUAAUUUAAAUUGUGAUAUUGUGGAAUGAACAAUGGACCAAAUUUUGAUGAAAAUAAUCUGGGGAUCAAUAAAGGCGUAUAUAUCAUUUAGUAUUGGUAAAAGCGCGUGUUGGGUCGCGUCGGAUUUUAAAUCCGUAGGGUUUAAAGCUGUCGGCGAACACAUCGAGGUUUUAUUGUUGGCCAACAAUAACCUCCGAGAAGGAAGCAGUUGGACAGCCAACUGCGGACAAGGUCGAACUCGGCAGAGGUACUUUGGUGUGGUGGUGCGGGUCUCCGUGACGGGUUGAGCAGACUCCCUUACAUUGAGUUAUUCCGUCGGGUGGAGGCGAGUCUCCCCCAUCGUUGAGUCUAAUCUAUCGCUCCAGAGACGGGCGGUAGGUCCGCCCAGUUCGACCUGUAGAAAAUUACAGAAACUUGCAAAAAAAAAAAAAACGUAAAAUUAACAAUAUAAAAACUUUUUUUUAUA
RNA transcript from Phyllopteryx taeniolatus (common seadragon), 4933 nucleotides. It is a transcript of the gene named cytochrome b5 reductase 4, with no coding region annotated. NCBI's taxonomy places the organism in Eukaryota, Metazoa, Chordata, Actinopteri, Syngnathiformes, Syngnathidae. The transcript is spliced from 16 exons. The record is from RefSeq and is a predicted model, not a curated record.